Long non-coding RNA from Polyodon spathula (Mississippi paddlefish), 1079 nucleotides. RefSeq lists it as uncharacterized. The record is from RefSeq and is a predicted model, not a curated record. The transcript is spliced from 6 exons. Lineage: Eukaryota; Metazoa; Chordata; Actinopteri; Acipenseriformes; Polyodontidae.
UACACCUGCACGACCUAGAUUGUACUGCUAACCACCUCGAUCUCUGUGCAGCGUGCCUCAUUGCUUCAUAAUGAACAGUUUGGAUUAUAUGUGAACCUGCACAGUUAUCGUUGUUUGUUUAAUUAUUUAACUUUUUUGGUUUUGUAAAUUAUAACCGUGCAGGGAUAUUCUUUUAUUAUAAUUAUUUUAUAAUUGUAUCUUUUACUUUUUAAAAAAAAGCUGUCUUGUUUUCAUAGGCCUAUAUGCUGAAUGAGUUGUCUUAUAAAGAGAGCGAUACUCAGUUUUAUUGUAGCAUGUUUGUAAAAUAAUGCAUUAUUGACGGUUUUUUUUUUUUAAGCUUUUCUUUUGUUUGUUUGUUUGUAACUAGAUUUGUCUUCCAGAGUUCCUGCGGCGAAUCCAGCAGUGAACAUGUCAAUGUUUGGAUAUGACGGGAAGGUGCCUUCCCUGGGAAUAACCGAGAAAGUGCUGCUAGCCCUCCAGGAACAUGUCUUUCCACGGGUUCUGGGUGAAAAAAAACCCCCAAAAACCCAACAGUUUUUACCCUGAGGUGGAGAUCAAAGACAGUGGAAGUGGCAAAAUCACCCUGGAGUAAGCUGGUGAGCGACCAAAUACAUGAGUCAAGAGGAAACUUAAGAAGCUUAACAGCCUGUCCCACAGCUUCAUAAGGAAAAACCGAACAAGCUGCUGACAAAGUUCAACUCCAUUUGUGUGCUGCACCAUCCCAGUGAAACUAAAACUCCAGAAUGUGUAGCAGACAGGGAGCUGUUCUGACACUUGCACUCACGGUGAUACUGAGAAAUAGCCGUGCUUGAAAAGCAGCGACGCGCUGGCCACGAUCGAGCCGUGGCUGGAGGCCACAGAGAGAAUCCUGAGGUCAAGAGGAAAGAGCCGGUGGGGAAGUCAGACUGAGACCCGUCUCUGCAGCUCCAGAAUGAAAGCACUCAGGCUUAAAGAAUUACAGUAAGUAUAUCUGGGCACCUUCACUAGCCCAAUGUCUAGACAAAACUGGCAACAAGCUCACUGCUAUUCUAACAACAUAAUACUGUGGGCAAACAAAAUAAAAAGUAUGGUUUGCAAGG